ACGGAGGGUGCAAGCGUUAUCCGGAUUUACUGGGUUUAAAGGGUGCGUAGGUGGGUAGGUAAGUCAGUGGUGAAAUCUUCAAGCUUAACUUGGAAACUGCCAUUGAUACUAUUUAUCUUGAAUACUUUGGAGGUAAGCGGAAUAUGUCAUGUAGCGGUGAAAUGCUUAGAUAUGACAUAGAACACCAAUUGCGAAGGCAGCUUACUACACAGUGAUUGACACUGAGGCACGAAAGCGUGGGGAUCAAACAGGAUUAGAUACCCUGGUAGUCCACGCCCUAAACGAUGGAUACUCGACAUUAGCGAUAUACAGUUAGUGUCUGAGCGAAAGCAUUAAGUAUCCCACCUGGGAAGUACGAUCGCAAGAUUG
This 369-nucleotide ribosomal RNA is filed under the name uncultured bacterium. RNAcentral's name for it is "bacterial SSU rRNA". It matches the Rfam family "Bacterial small subunit ribosomal RNA", at positions 525 to 896 of the family's 1533-position model. The record is from RNAcentral.